Molecule: transfer RNA, 69 nt
Filed under: Paramesotriton hongkongensis (Hong Kong warty newt)
Lineage: Eukaryota; Metazoa; Chordata; Amphibia; Caudata; Salamandridae
Description: tRNA-Ala
Rfam family: tRNA
About the family: Transfer RNA (tRNA) molecules are approximately 80 nucleotides in length. Their secondary structure includes four short double-helical elements and three loops (D, anti-codon, and T loops).
Source: RNAcentral
AAGGCCUUAGCUUAGUUAAAGUGUCUGGGUUGCAUUCAGAAGAUGUGGGGUAGUACCCUGCAGGUUUUA